UAGAAGAGGAUUCGUUACAAGAAAUUGCGGUAGAUAUUUUGUUUAUCGCUUUCUUCGCACUUUGCGUCCUCAUUUAAAGGAGUAUAUACAGAAUACAGAAUACAGUAUCACUGUUUCUACAGAAUACAAUGCAUUACAACUGACCAUUCGUGCAGAAUGGSAAGAUUGGAAAAACUUGUCGUCUGUGUUGAAUUGGAGCAUUUUAGAUGACAAAGAAUUUUCCCGUGUCCCAAGAUCCAAACGAGAGCGCUACCAUUUUGGCUUGCAACAUGGUAUAGGAUUCCUUUUGAAUAACACUGCACAUUUAACAAUCCAAACUAAACCAGAUAUUCAGUCAUUUACACUGUGUUAUUGGAUAUCUACGAAUGAUUCUACUCCGAAAUUGUUAAAUACUGCUGUCAAGACUAAUGCAAAGGUGUUGUUGGAUAUCCUCGUAUACCGGUAAGGACUUCUUAAAAGUA
This is a long non-coding RNA of Exaiptasia diaphana, 461 nucleotides long. RefSeq lists it as uncharacterized. Lineage: Eukaryota; Metazoa; Cnidaria; Anthozoa; Actiniaria; Aiptasiidae. The transcript has 3 exons. The record is from RefSeq and is a predicted model, not a curated record.